AAAAACCGGGCAAGUGCGAGUCGGUCUCGCCCACCGAGGGUUCCGUACUUUUUAGUAUUUGUUGUUAUAGCGGCAACAGAAAUACAUCAUCUCCUGGUGACAGACAGACGGACGGACGGACAGCGAAGUCUUAGUAAUA
Molecule: long non-coding RNA, 139 nt
Organism: Cydia splendana
Lineage: Eukaryota; Metazoa; Arthropoda; Insecta; Lepidoptera; Tortricidae
Exons: 2
Source: RefSeq, a predicted model, not a curated record